GACGAACGCUGGCGGCGUGCUUAACACAUGCGAGUCGAACGGGCCCGCUCUCUUUUUUGGGGGUGGGUUGAGUGGCGAACGGGUGAGUAUCACGUGAGUAACCUGCCCCCUGCUCCUGGAUAACUGCUUGAAAGGGCGGCUAAUACGGGGUGUGCCGGCUGGUCCGCAUGGGCCUGGUCGGGAUAGUUUCAUCUUCGGGUGUUUCGGUGGGGGAUGGGCUCGCGGCCUAUGAGCUUGUUGGUGGGGUGAUGGCCCACCAAGGCGGUGGCGGGUAGCCGGCCUGAGAGGGUGGGCGGCCACACUGGGACUGAGACACGGCCCAGACGCCGGCGGGAGGCAGCAGUGGGGGGUAUUGCACAAUGGGCGGAAGCCUGAUGCAGCGACGUCGCGUGAGGGAUGGAGGCCUUCGGGUUGGGAACCUCUUUCUCCGGUGGUGAAGGCCCUGUCCGUUGCGGCGGGGUUGACGGUAGCCGGGUAUGAAGCGCCGGCUAACUACGUG
RNAcentral lists this ribosomal RNA (499 nucleotides) under uncultured bacterium. RNAcentral describes it as "partial 16S ribosomal RNA". It matches the Rfam family "Bacterial small subunit ribosomal RNA", at positions 28 to 507 of the family's 1533-position model. The record is from RNAcentral.